UCCCCGGUAGCUCAGUUGGUAGAGCAAACGACUGUUAAUCGUUCGGUCGCUGGUUCGAGUCCGGCCCGGGGAGCCA
This 76-nucleotide transfer RNA is filed under the name Alphaproteobacteria bacterium. RNAcentral's name for it is "tRNA-Asn". It matches the Rfam family "tRNA". Rfam says of the family: Transfer RNA (tRNA) molecules are approximately 80 nucleotides in length. Their secondary structure includes four short double-helical elements and three loops (D, anti-codon, and T loops). The record is from RNAcentral. Lineage: Bacteria; Pseudomonadati; Pseudomonadota; Alphaproteobacteria.